This 369-nucleotide ribosomal RNA is filed under the name uncultured organism. RNAcentral describes it as "bacterial SSU rRNA". It matches the Rfam family "Bacterial small subunit ribosomal RNA", at positions 526 to 896 of the family's 1533-position model. The record is from RNAcentral.
CGUAGGUGGCGAGCGUUGUCCGGAAUUAUUGGGCGUAAAGAGCGUGUAGGUGGGAUAGUAAGUCUUAUGUAAAAGUGCGGGGCUCAACCCCGUAAAGCGUGAGAAACUGCUAUUCUUGAGUGCCGGAGAGGAAAGCGGAAUUCCCAGUGUAGCGGUGAAAUGCGUAGAUAUUGGGAGGAACACCAGUGGCGAAGGCGGCUUUCUGGACGGUGUCUGACACUGAGGCGCGAAAGCCAGGGGAGCGAACGGGAUUAGAUACCCCGGUAGUCCUGGCCGUAAACGAUGGGUACUAGGUGUAGGGGGUAUCGACCCUCCUGUGCCGGAGUUAACGCAAUAAGUACCCCGCCUGGGGAUACGGCCGCAAGGUUG